Acanthopagrus latus (yellowfin seabream) is the source of this 1437-nucleotide RNA transcript. It is a transcript of the gene named golgin A7, with no coding region annotated. The transcript has 6 exons. The record is from RefSeq and is a predicted model, not a curated record. Lineage: Eukaryota; Metazoa; Chordata; Actinopteri; Spariformes; Sparidae.
UGCAUGAAAUAUAUACAUAAUUGUUCACAUUUUAAUACUUUGGUUCAAAAUACACUUACUCUGAAAACAAUAAGCCGGAAGUCGCGCGGGGCUAACGGCAGGCUACAUGCGCAGCAGCUUCGGGGGAAUCGUCCACUAUGGCUGAGACCCACAGCUUACAGGACCUCCAGCAGCCAGCUGUCUCCUCCAAAGUGUUCAUCCAGAGAGACUACAGCUCAGGAACCAUCUGCAAGUUCCAGACCAAGUUCCCCUCUGAACUUGAGUCAAGGCUUGACAAACAGCAGUUUGAGGAGACAAUUCUGGCUCUAAACAACCUGUAUGCAGAAGCAGAGAAAUUAGGGGGAAAGUCUUAUUUGGAGGGCUGCCUGGCUUGUCUAACCGCCUAUACAAUCUUUCUCUGUAUGGAGACACACUAUGAAAAGGUGUUAAAGAAGAUUGCCAGGUACAUCAAGGACCAGAAUGAGAAGGUAUAUGCUCCCAGGGGCUUGCUGUUGACUGACCCCAUAGAAAGAGGCCUGAGAGUUGUUGAAAUAACCAUUUUUGAAGACAGAAGUAUUGGCUCUGGAAGAUAAAGAAACUUUGGGGGUAUGGAGUUCUUCUGAUGUAUUUUGUCCUAAACACUGGACCUCUGACGCAAGUUGACCGACUCUUCAUCUGUUUGGUGGCAUGUAUUCAGAUGUCCUGCUUCACCUGAAUGGAUGUAUAUAAUUUUGAUCUGAUCCUUUUCUCUGUUAUUUAUAAGUACUUUACUGUCACCCUAUCCAUAUAUGUUUGUAAGUGUGUUUUCAUGUCUUUUUAUACAUGCAGAGACGUUAAAAUCAGGUCCUAGUUGAUCAAGACCAGUGUUAAAGAAUAGUGCCAUUGUGUUUACUGCAACUCUCUGACCAUGGUAAAUAUAAGUGAUUUGACUUGCGUAUUGUUUUGCAAAUAAUAUCAAGUCAAAUAAUGUGUGGUCGUGAAGAUUUGUUAAAGAAAUAGGUCGGGGUGGAGCUGGUUGCUGCCUUUGUUGAGGCAAAUGUUUUCUUACCUGUGCAUGAAUGUGACUGUUGGAGGGGAAAUCAUGUCGUGUGAAACACGUAGAAAGUUCUGAAAUUGAGUUUUUUUGUGUCCUCAAAGAUGGAGCAUGUUUACCGUUAUCACAAAAUAAUGACAUGAUCUAGUACAUUAUGAGGAAUAUCCAUCUCUGCCGUGUCAUAGUACAAUUGCACCAAGUCUCCCAAAUUAUAUUCAUAAUAUAGUCCUGUUAACCUGUUUCUCAUAAGAUUUACUAUCUGUAAUGCGAUUGUCAUCCACCUUUUCAUUGUCAUCAAACACCACAGAAACCUUAAACACUCUGAACUCCACAGAUGAUCGCUAUAGUCGGUGUUUGAUACAACUGUUGUACUUUUCUUACAAAUAUUGUUCUGUUUUAUCUAAAUAAAUAUCCUUUUCCUGAAA